UACGUAGGGUGCAAGCGUUAUCCGGAAUUAUUGGGCGUAAAGAGCUCGUAGGCGGUUUGUCGCGUCUGCUGUGAAAACCGGAGGCUCAACCUCCGGCCUGCAGUGGGUACGGGCAAACUAGAGUGCGGUAGGGGAGAUUGGAAUUCCUGGCGUAGCGGUGAAGUGCGCAGAUAUCAGGAGGAACACCGAUGGCGAAGGCAGGUCUCUGGGCUGUAACUGACGCGGAGGAGCGAAAGCAUGGGGAGCGAACAGG
RNAcentral lists this ribosomal RNA (253 nucleotides) under uncultured bacterium. RNAcentral's name for it is "partial 16S ribosomal RNA". It matches the Rfam family "Bacterial small subunit ribosomal RNA", at positions 524 to 776 of the family's 1533-position model. The record is from RNAcentral.